GACGAACGCUGGCGGCGUGCUUAACACAUGCAAGUCGAACGGAAAGGCCCUGCUUUUGUGGGGUGCUCGAGUGGCGAACGGGUGAGUAACACGUGAGUAACCUGCCCUUGACUUUGGGAUAACUUCAGGAAACUGGGGCUAAUACCGGAUAGGAGCUCCUGCUGCAUGGGGGGGGUUGGAAAGUUUCGGCGGUUGGGGAUGGACUCGCGGCUUAUCAGCUUGUUGGUGGGGUAGUGGCUUACCAAGGCUUUGACGGGUAGCCGGCCUGAGAGGGUGACCGGCCACAUUGGGACUGCGGUACGGCCCAGACUCCUACGGGAGGCAGCAGUGGGGAAUAUUGCACAAUGGGCGGAAGCCUGAUGCAGCAACGCCGCGUGCGGGAUGACGGCCUUCGGGUUGUAAACCGCUUUCGCCUGUGACGAAGCGUGAGUGACGGUAAUGGGUAAAGAAGCACCGGCUAACUACGUG
This 468-nucleotide ribosomal RNA is filed under the name uncultured bacterium. Its description in RNAcentral is "partial 16S ribosomal RNA". It matches the Rfam family "Bacterial small subunit ribosomal RNA", at positions 28 to 507 of the family's 1533-position model. The record is from RNAcentral.